ACACCCCACAUCAAUAACUUGUUUGUUGAAUGGAACUGAGAGUCUAUCGGUCUAUUUUUUAGACUGAACUCUUUAAAACUAUUAGGCCUGAACUAUUGUUCUUUUUCGCCUGAACAUUUUUUUAAUAUAAAGGAAUGCUCUAGUAAUUAAGACUAUCUUCUGGGGCCUCCCAAAUAAAACUCUUUUAA
This 188-nucleotide unclassified non-coding RNA is filed under the name Mucor irregularis. Its description in RNAcentral is "partial internal transcribed spacer 2". The record is from RNAcentral. Lineage: Eukaryota; Fungi; Mucoromycota; Mucoromycetes; Mucorales; Mucoraceae.